GUAUUUCCAUGUUUUAUACAGAAAAUUCACACCAACCUUUUAAAAGUAAAAUAAUGGCUGCCAUUGAAAAAAUGUUAAUGGUCAAAAUAAAAUAAAUGUGGGUGGAUGGAUUAAAUAUAAAAUAAAAUAGUUGUCUAUGAGAUUCCGUUCCGCCCACCCUACGUGACGGUGACCUUUACAAAUUAAAAUGGGAAGAAAAGUGGGACCGAAUAAGGAAAUAAAUAAAAAGAAUUUGAGUG
Molecule: long non-coding RNA, 239 nt
Filed under: Cucumis sativus (cucumber)
Lineage: Eukaryota; Viridiplantae; Streptophyta; Magnoliopsida; Cucurbitales; Cucurbitaceae
Description: long non-coding RNA (CSAT_LNC002777)
Source: RNAcentral